GUGUGCUGGUGCGGGACAGGAGCGCGAGCCGGGGGAGAUGGGGGCUCCUCCCGGGCUCUUCUUUAAACGAGGGCUCCUUGCCUGAACUCGGGCUCCAUAUGCGACGCCUAACAGCAUACACGCCCUUUAAAACCCAGCAAGGGCCGCGAUCGGAGGAACUUUUUGAGAGGAAAUAUAGAAUUGCCAGCUUGUCUGGUAAAUCACCUGUCUGAAGAUAACGGCAUUUUAACGAGGCGAGUAGACAUUUCGGAACACUCCCCGCUGCUUUUUCCCUCUGCGAGAGCCAGGAGGAGGCAGACGGUGUGGAAGCGCACGGCGAAGGCAGCGGCAUGAGCGCGGUGCUUUAAACCGUGGGUCGCGGUGCGCUGUGCGGGGCCGAGUGCCGCUCGGCCCCGGCGAUAACCGGAGAGGAGCGCGUUCGCAGGGAUAACUCAGCGUCUGCCUUCCGUGAGGCGGCACCGGCGCGAUUUUCAUCUUGGCCGUGCGCCAAACGCAGUGUCGUGGCGCCUGCUUAUUCCUCUCCCCGUGCUCUGGAGUUGUGGGCUUCGUUCUGCUUGCUUUCUGUAAAAUAACCAUUUGAAAAUGUCUUGUUUUAACGUUGGAAUUAACCUAAAACACCCUAAAAACGUUUCUAGCAAUACUACCAUUCAAAAGGUUGAUCUGGGAUGGAGACCACUACAUUAGCUUUCCUUCAAUGCAGAAAUACGUAAGGCAUUUCUUUUGCAUUAUAUUGUUUUUUGGUGCCUUGUCCUUUAAGCCAGGAUAGUUCCAGAGACAUGAAAUGACAACUUCUUUUUUGGACCAUGAUUCUAGAUGCCAGUUGGAUUGCCCUUCUCCAGUGGACAGGUUGCCAGCCUGAGAGGAAUGGUGAGGUGCUACAGACACGUCAGCAGGACACGUGGUUUUGCACUGCAGGGUAAUCACCACACAGCCUCAUGUCUCUUCUCCACUUUUCUGCUGCAGGUUCUGGUUUCAUUUUUAUUGUGUACUGAAUUUUGUAUUUAUUUUCAUGGGACUCUGAAUGAAGCCUGAACUUCUAUGUUUUUGAGAGGAGAAUCCAAAAAAGAAAAGUAAGCAACUUACCCCAGGUUAUUUCCUAAGGUAAAUUAGAACAAUGAAGUUAAGUACCAUUUCAUUUUCUGAUGUUUCAGUGUUGUAAUGAAUGAGCAAAUUAGGUUGCCAAAAUAUGACUAAUUCACACAUUAUAGUAGUCUUUACAUGAUAAGUUGUUGGAAGAGCUAAAACCAUAUACCUUUAAACACUGAGAAACAAGAGUAAGAGGAGACUCAGGAACCUCAGAGCAGAAUAUAAAAUGAUGCUGCUGCAGCUGGAACUCAUGCUGAUUCUGUGUAUUGUACAGAAAACACCAUCAUAACAAUAAUAAAAAGAAGAUAAGCAACUGAACUGUGAAUUCCAGGUUCAUUUUUCAGUUCUACCUAACUCUUUGUAACUUUACAAUGAAAGAUUCAGAAAUUGGAGCCAAUUACCAUAAUAUGUGGUGGUUUGGUGGGAGCAUGUUCUACAUCAGACAGUUAAAAGGUUUUAUUGCUAUUAGGAGCUUGUUAAUGCCCUUGAUAAUGUCUUUAGUUGCUUUGUAAUGUCUCUUGUUGAAGUAUAGAAUUCUUUUAUCUUCUUAUUACAUUAUGCAGAAACUUGAAUUGAAACGAUAUUUGCAGGAACAUUUAAAGUAGUGCAUCAAUCAGUUUCAAAGAAGAGAAAAUGUUCUCAGAAUAGGUUAUAAAAGGAUAACUGUCAGUUUUAUUUUGGAUGAACAAAGAAACCAACGUAAAAAGCACUUUAUUGUAAAAGCAUACUGUGCAAUUCAAUAAAUAUUCCAUAUAAAUAUAAAGGAAAAGAAAGUUCAUAAUUAUCUGAUGGCUUGAAUAUAAUUUAAGUAAUACUUCCAGAAUACAGCAAGCAGUGAAGCCCCUUCUUCUUUCUUGUGUAUUCUACCCCCAGCUCAAGUCCUCAGUAGGAGAUAGUUUAAAUUGACUUGUUAAUGAUUUGAAUGCUAAAAUAUGGUUAUAAUUUAACAUUAUCUUGCAGGGAUGUAAACCUCCUCACAAAACACCUCACCACAUGAGAAAAAUAGCAGUAGCACCUUUCCUCACUCUCCUUGCUUUUUGUUUGUUGGGUUGGUUUUCUUCCUCAAACAUGAAUUCUUGUUGUUUGUUUUCCCGCUGGCAUUUUUUACCUGCUUUAACACAAAGUUAUCUGAGUAUUUAUACAUUUGGAUUACAAACCCUCUAUAUGAUUCGGUUAGAAAACGCUUGCACAGGGUGUUAUUAUCCAGGAAAACAGUUGCAAAUACUCUGCUCCCUGAACCAGUAGUAGCUUGCUAGACCACACAAAAUAUGGCAUGUUGCAAAUCUCAUCUUGUAGCCUGUAAACCAGAAGCAGCACGCUCCCCUUCCCCCCUUCUUUAUCUUCUAAAAAAAGAAAGGAAAAAAGAGAAAAUACCAAAGACUGCACAUAGAGAGUUGUAAAUGCUCACACGGCAAAUGUUUCCCAGAGAAAUUUGAGUCUUGUCCUUUGGAUCCAUUGUCUUUUCAGAAUCCAGUGUUCAUCCUGUGACUUCAACAGAACAGAGUAUUUCUAGUUUAAGAAAUGUAUGUUUAUUUCUGAAGAGUUUAUUAAGGCAGAGAAGUAAUUGGCUGUGAAUGCACAUAUUUUGGUUUAUUUAUUUAUUUCAGUCUAUUUUGGUUACUAAAUUCUAUGCGCAAGGGAUUUCUAACCUUUUUUGUUGGUCAUUCUGAAAGGGUAUGCAGCAUGCACCUGCAUUAUUCAACUGUUUAUUUUUCACUUCUGAAACUUUGAAAAGAUAUCUUAUUUUUAUUUAAUAAUCAUACCACAAUAAACUCACCUUGUUCAUGCCCCGUUGUCAAUUCUAACCUUCAACCUAGGUAUGUUUUUAAACUUGCAGGUGGUUUUAAAAUUGUAGGCUAUUAAAAAAAAAACUCCUGUGGGUUUUAGGAACUUACAAUAGUGAUUUCAUUGAAGUCAGCUAUAAUUGAUCAAUCAAUUCACAAUAUUCACAAUGUAUUUAAGAUGAGAUUUUAUUUCCAUGACACAUUUUACUACAUAGGACUUCCCUCCUUUAACUGCUUCCCUGUGUUUCCAGCUCUAAAGGCAGGGGUGCCAGGUGGCCUUUGCCCUCCCAGCACCUCCAUCCCCCUGCCCUUCUCUCUCCAGCCAACACCUCCCUUUUGUGGCACAGGUGUCAUUGCAGUGCCCUAAAAAGAGUUUAUUUCACAACACUCCAAGCAGCCUCUGAAGGAGCGCCUCCGUAAGUUACCGAGCUCUUGAGAAAACAGUAAUUUACAGUGAGCAAGCUGCUGGGUUGCAUGGAUCUGUGUGCUUUGCCUGGGAAAUAGGGUUCCCAUGGCAACUGCCCCACGCUGCGGGUGUGGCAUCCUGUGCAGGUGAGGCUGGCUCCCUGUGAGGUGAGCCCUCCUUGGCCCUGCACCCUGGGCUCUGCUGCAUGGGCAGCCUGCUGGGCACCUCCAUCCCUGCCUGGCUCCACACUGCUCUUCCCAAUGGGCAGACUCCUUCCCUUAACACUUGGGAACAUUAGCCCUAGGUUAGAAGCCCCAAACAAACAAAACAAAACACCCAAGGUAAACAAACAUCACGCUUUAAAAAAAUACUGCACAGAAAUCACAAUCGAGCCCAUGAUCAUCCUGGGAUCUUACCAGAAGGCACUGAUGAGAUAUGAGAUAAUCAGCUCUUUCUUUGUUUGGGAAGGAAUGUUUACUUGCCUUAAAUUUAUUUGGUUUUAAAUUCAGUUAUUAACAAAGCAGCCUUUGCUGACCUGAGUUGAGAGCAGGGGAAGAGCAAUGCUUGCUCAAGGAGAACACAUCAGAAACCUGACUUGAGGAAGACACUGAAACUAGGCAGUAAGAGCAGUUUGCACUUUAUCUGUUCCAAAAUGUAGGUUACUGUGCCAAGUGUGAUGAUGAUGGCUCUCAUUUUGCAGGAGUUCCUAGUAACUAGACCUGAUGGCAUUUCAGAGCAGGGUUUGUUUGGGAGGUGGCCAAGCUCUGCAAAUCAGGUAACACACAGGGCAUCCUUGGGAGAUGGGGGUCAAGGCUUUCUAAUCCAGAAUGGGAUAAACAUGAGAGACCUGUGGCAUAUAAAGAAUUAUACAAACAUGUAAAAUUGUUGCUAGUUGAGCUGGAAAGCCUCUUGUAACAUGUAACACUUUAAAUAUCUCUGAAGACAGGAGGAGGAAUCUGGCUUUCCUAGACAGAAGCAUUUUUGGAGGAGAAGUGGAAGAUGUUAUGAAUAGCUGUGACAAAGGCAAUGACAAGACAGACUUUUGCAUGAAGCACAGAAAGCUGAUCUAUAGGAGGAAGUGUAGUGGCUUGGGUGACAAUAGUGUGAACCAUGAAGAAUCUUAAAACUGAUGGGUGUUUUACUAUGGUAUGGCAAAAAACCAAAAAGAAGGGACAAGCAGUGGCACCCACAACACCCAUCCAAGAACAAGAGAUGUGAGAGACUCUUCCUUCGUUUGCCACUUUCUAAAUCAAAAUGGAGGGGAGGCUUUAGAAGGGAAAAACCUUUCUAAAUAGUAGCAUUGCACAGUGUUUCUUCUGGCUGCUAAUAAUGCUUCUAAAGGUGUGACCGGACUUACAGAAUGAAACCUCUGGCCCAGGUAGUGAGCAUCACAUCACUGUGACAGAACAGGGCUCAGUUCAGAUUGCAGCAGAGGAGAAGUGAUGUCUUGGCAGAAGAAUUGAGUGGGAAGUGACAGCUCUUGCUGUAAAAAAGCAGAGAGUGUCUAAGAGUUAAAAUAGAUUCUUUUCUGAAAUGCCCAUGUAGCUUCAAUAGCUCCACAGGAGUUUUAGGAUUACAAAUGACAGCAAAAUUUGUGCCAUUCUGCAUAAUUGUAUUCUCUACAAAGAAAGUUUCCUACAUCUCCUAGCAAAGACGGUACUUUCAUUAGAAGGAAAAUAAUUUCAAAAUUACAUCUCUUUGUGCCAAGGAUUAAAAAGAUCUAACAAGGAGUUCUAAAAAAAAAAAAAGCAUUUACAUUGAAUCCUUUGGUUUUACAGGUAGAAUAAUGACAUGAAAAUAAAAGAAAAUUUUAAUUGGUGAAGAGAAGGGGAAACAUCCUAGUUCCUGACUCGUCACUAUGUUCAUCCUCUCUUGCAGCUCCCACCAUUUUCACUCACAAUAUACAGGACUAUAUUUGUCUUUACUGAGGUUCAGCUCUGUUAAAAACAAUCCAGUUCUAUCUCUCUGCUAGUGUAAGAUUUCAGCCUUCCUUAACACGAGUCUCUGACAGACAAGGAACCCAGAAUGUCUUGGCUUGGCAGUGGUUCAAUCCUCCAUAAUUUUGUUAAUUUAAAUGUAGUCACAGGCUGCAGUCUCAGGAAAUGCCAGCUCUUUUUGCCCCACCACAGCCUAGAAACUCUCUGUGAUGGCUCUGCUGUCAUAGCUGGAGAGCACAAACCCUCUGUGCUCAGCUCGCAGUUCCGACUGCCAUGUAUGGACAUUUCUAAUUACUUUGGAGGCGCUCCAUUUUGUACUGCAUGCAUAAUUAGUUAGUUAUUUACAUUUUAUUUCAGCAUUUUUCCUAGCCCGUACACUAAUGAAAUCCCGGCGUGACAUCAGAACCUUCCUGCUGAAGUGGGUCUUCCCUUCAGGGAUCAGCCACCCUUUUAAAUUAAUGAGCCGCUUACAGAAACAGCUUCAUGAUUUUAUGUGCAGUGUUUGCAAGGAAAUUUAUAAAUGGUCUGACUCCUUUCAGAUCCAAAAUCUGUUGAAAUUAAAAGAAAAUCUCCCACUAGUAUUGCAUGCUUUGGGUCAUCUCUUAUGUGAAUUUUUUUUUCUUGUGUAUUUACCAUAACUCAGUUAGGGAAAAGGGUCCUCCAUCUUUCACAUAGAGAAGCAGAUGUACGGGUGGGAAGGAAGAAAAAUGGAUGUAAGGAAGCUAAUUACCACUGGAGUCCCCAAAAGUAUAAAGUGGCCUGUAGGUAUGCUCAUCUUCUCUCUCCUCGUCCUGGUUUGCUCACUGAGCAAGCUUGUCUCGAAGGCAGCACUUUCCCUUGGCUGGAGCAGGAGGACACCAGCUGAUGUGUUUGCAGCAGCCACCUCUCCCUUAUGCUUUCUUGCCUAUUCAAGAGUCCAGCCCAGUGUGGAAAAAGAGCAAAACUGCCCAGAGAGGCAGCCCUUAUGCUGAAAGCCUGGGAGAGCAACAUCACUGCUGACUGCAUGACAGAGUGUAUUUAUUAAAAGUCUAGCAAUUGCACAUUCCUGAAAUUGCAGAUUUUUACUCAACUGCUUGUGAGCCUGGGGGUAUGCAACAGCUGUUUAUCAUUGUACUCUGAUGAAACCCUGAUAAAGAUGAAACUGCUGCAAAGAAAUGUGGCCUUACAGUGGGAAACUAAAAUUUCAGAAAUCAGACAGCUCCAAGAAUAAAUGAAAUAAAAGUUUAAAUGACAAGAUCCAGCCAUGGUCAGAGGUGAUGAUGAGGAGCAAAAAAAUUGACACAGGCAUCGUUUGAAAGGACAGAGAGGAAGAAAAUCAAGCUCCUGCUUUUCAGGCAAGACAGUCAGUGAGGCAUUAAAGAUACAGUAGUAAAUAAUUGUUUUGUCAUUGCGUUCCUUGCUGCAUGAGACCAGGGUUUGCAUUUUGCUUUUGCUUGAAAUAUAUACAGCACAUGAUAUAACUGGGCAUUAAUAAGCAAUGAGCAACCUUUUUUUUUCCUUUGUCAUAUAUUUAUUUGUAGAAUAGUAUUGACUUCACUGUCUGCAUAUAGAGAACAACAACUCUGUUAUGUCUUUCUGACAAAUAUCAAACAUUAGCUGUACAGAUACAGUUGUUUUUACUUUAUUUCCCUGUCUUGUUUUUUGGUCUUUUUUCUUAAUGUAAGUAAUGGAACAAUGUCCUUUUACAGUAAAUGGUUCCUUUGCUGAAUAUGUCACACAGUCAUUACUCCCUGCAGGGUUAAAAACAAUGCAGAAAACUACCUACAGGAUCAGAACAUUGCCAGCAAAGCAAAGUGAAAAGGAACUGUUAGAAUAACUAGAAAACAUUUUCCACUGCUGGCAAAAGUACCAAAAUUGUAUAAAAAUUAUUAUGAAAAAUAAAUUAGUUUUACAACAAAGCCUCAUGGUAAAGAAUUGUUAAAAUAGUCCCAGAAUAUCAGGAGAACUCAAUAUUGAGAUAAAAUGGCUAAAAGCUACCAAAUAAAAGCUUGAUACCAUUUGAUGUAUAAAUGCCAAACUAGACAUAAACAAUAACUUGAAUUACACUAAUCUUGGAAGAAGAAGCAAAAAUAUUAUUGAAUAAAUUAAUAUAUCAAGGUUGUUCUUGAAUAAGAAUAAAGCAAUUCUUAUUACUAAUAGAGAUAUGCCUAGACAUCCUGGCUUACAACAUGAAUCUCACUAUGCCAGGUAUUGCUCAAAAAUAAGGUAAAGCAGUGACCUAAUUCUAAACCAAAAUUUAGAAUACAGGAGAUAGGUGUAGUUGAGCCAGCAUCAGUACAGUAGGGUCUCAGCAUGGGUGGUUUCUUUAUUUUUUCUCUUUGAAGGAAGUAAAUCAAAGGAGUUUUAAGAAAACUAGAGAUAUUUAUGAGCUGCUAGCACUGUGCAUGAGGAACAGUUAGAAGGAAGUAGUGUAUCUUUGGAAAUGUAACAAGUAGAAGACAGGUUAAAAAUACCUCCAUUCCAUAUUUUUACUUAUCAGCUUUCGCUAUAAUUUUUUUUUAUUUGUAUCACGAAAGGUGAGAUUUGGCUCACUGUUAAAGUGAUGCUAAUUUACAGGAUCACCAAAUCAUGGAGUGGAUGAGAUGGGCUGUCUGGAGCCCAUCCAGUCCAGUCUCCUGCUCAGCACAGGGUGAGCCACAGCAGGUUGCUCCAGACUGUAGCCAGCUGGGUUUUAAAGAUCUCCAGGAAUGGAGACUCCACAUCUUCUCUGGGCAGCCUCUACUUAUGUUUGAUCACUCCCACUGUAAAAAAACCCAAACCAACCAACCAAUUUUUUUAUGAUUAAGUGAAAUUAAUUGUAUUUCUGCUGCUCAUCCUUCCACUAGGUAUUACUAAGAGUUUGGCUCGGUGGUUUUUGUUCCUUCCCAUUGAAUAUUUACAGGCACUGCCGUUGGGUCUAAUUGUGUGUAAACUAAAGAGUUUUGAAGGGACAGUCAUCCUUCUUUUCAGAGAAUUUAGUUAAUGUUGAAAAUUGAAAACUCAGGAGUUUUGUUCCUGUUGCUGUCUUCUUCCUUGCUGUGGAAAACUGCAAACCAUAGAGUGGUUUCUGUUUCUCUUCCUAUGGCACUUUAGCCCCUUUCCUAACCUGAGAUCUGCAGAGGGAGGCUGUUGUUAUGAAUGUCAGCAUUUGCCACUGAGGACAGUGGCACUUUGGGAGCUCAGGCCUGGCAGGGUUUGGGUCUGGACCCCACAGGAGGGUCUGGAUGCAGCCUGGUUGCUGCAGCGCUUUUGAAGCCAAUGGGAAGGGGCUUGGCAAGUGCCUGGUGCUGGGUUUCUUUUGGGUGGUGCUGCCACUUGGGGUGACAUUGAGCAGCAUGGAGGGAGCAGGGUCCUCAACAGAGCAGGAGCCACCCAGGCAUGGAUGUUUGCAGCACCCCACAGCUGCUGGCUCACUCCAAGCACAAAAUGGAUGGGAAUAACUCUCAGUAGCUCCUUGCUGCCCAGGCUGGGUGCUGAUCUGCUCCCACUGAGCAAUUUGAGUCUUUAUGCUCUGAGCAUGCUGAGUCACUUUGGAUAAAAGGCUCAUUGCCCCAAAGCUGUCAGUGGAAUAAAAAUAACCAUCAUACAUAGUGAGUAACUUCUGAGGCACAUUAGGGGUCACACAGUAUUCUGUUGUUGUUCAAGAAAAGAGAAUCCUUCUUGGAGGUAACAUUACCAUUUUAGCUCUUGUGUAGUAAGCUGUGCAAUCUUGCCACUUGUGUUGUUUAGGGAUAUUUCUUCAUAACUGUAUGGAAAUACUAGCUUGGAUUUUCAGCCAGGCAAAAUGACUAGUGUUGUUGUGAAGAGAUUUGUAGCAUGUAAGAAACAGGAACCGGUAGCACUGUCCACCUGAUUAGCGUUCCAUCUUUCAAUUCCAAUUAAGUGAUAGCAAACCUGUUAACCUGAAAUUUUUGUUGGCUCUUUUGUUUGUUUGUUUUUUAAUCAAAAAAGAAAGAGAAAAAGGCAAAAAUAAAAAAGGAGUUUGGAAACUCCUUUGGAUCUUAAGCAUAGUUUUGUUGCCAACAAGCUGGGGGAUGUAGGCUGACAUGCAUCCUGUUUCUAAUAGCACACACACUGUUUCUUUAUUUAGAGCCUCUUUACCAGUAUCAAUUAAACCCCAGUUAAAUUUGACACAUCUUAACCUUGCGUUGGAUCCAAUUCAUUGCUACAGCAGAACCCAUAUGGCACUGAGACAGUUGCAGGCAUCAAUUCAUUGCUUAUGUAGAGUUACUGGCUAAAUGCCAAGCAGUAAUCACUGCUUUUUGUUAAUAGACAUGUUUGCUUUUGCAGUCGUUUCUAUACACAGUGCUCUAGAUUAAUUAGAACAAAAUCUGUCAUCCAUCUAAGAAACAACCAGAACUCUUGGGAUUUUUUUGCCUCAGAUUUAAAGAGAAAUGAAUUCUGCCUACCAAAGGUGUUGGUGGAGGAGAGUUGUUUAUUUUAUAUACUUUGUUUUUUCUAGAAUAACCUAUUUUGUCUAUUCAACACAUAAGUAUCUGCUGUUUUCUUCCAUUACUGGUGUUGCAUUUUAAAGAAAUUUUAACUUGUGAUUAUGCAGUUUUGGCCUCCCGCCCCCAGUUUGAUGCCUGAAUAAUUAACAUAGUUAAGUGAACGACUGGAUAUUGAAGUCUUCUGGUUAAAUCAUUAGCAAUUUAAGAUCAAAUUACUUUAUAUCCAGAUCUGUUUUGGUGAAUAUAUAUAUGUGAUGCCCUAUGCUAAGCGUGAAAUGCACUUGAGAGUAUUUUACUGUGCUAAAAUAGGGCAACACUUUUAAUCUAGUACAUUACAUUAUAGAAAUAUCAUAAAUUCUUUCACUAGAAAUACUUAUAUUGGUGCCUACUGUCACCAAAGUAGUUUAAGAAACCAUUUUGGGACACAUUGUUUAACCAAUUGUGUAGGCUUUAUCUCCAUAAGGAUAUUUUUGUGGUGUUUUCUUUAGGGCAACUAUUUUUUUGGCAUGAAUUCACAGUAAAAUUGUUUUGGUUACCCUGAUUUGAAAAUAAAGCUUUCUCAUACUCAGUUUUUCCAUUCAGAAAUGUGUCACAUAGGACCAGAUUAAAAAUCUACUGGGACUUUCCACUGGAUUUAUUAGGGAUUGGAUGGUGUCCACCAUCCUGAGUAAAGACCUCCGACUACUGAUUGUCCAACUACUUACUUGGCUGUUUCUUGCUAAGGGUUUAAAAUUCCCCCAUGCUGAAAGGAAGAGAUUGUGUUCAAGGACUAAUGGCAAUUCCAGCUUUCAUUUCAAGUAGCAAUGCUGUUUAUAAACCUUGAGGUAUUUCUGUUUAUAGAAGUGAUUUAAUAUGACUUAUACCUUAGCAGAGGAUCUCAUUAACUGACUCCCUUACUUCUUCCUCAGUAUUCCUGAUUUAUGCCACAUACACGUUAUAUAAGAAAACGUGUCCAUCUAUCUAUCUGUCUAUCAUAAAUAAUUUCUCUUUGUAUGAAGAGGCAGUAAAAACACCUCUAUUUUAUGGAAGUUAUUAUCUCUUUCAAAACUUUUUCCUAAUGUUGCGUUAAUGUUUUAGUAUUCCAGUGCUGUUGGUCCAUUGUUCGGAAGUACAGCUUUAUCAGCAGAAUGUGUGGCAGAUGGUUUACAUUUGCAUUAGCCUUCUGGAAAAGGAAUCAGCUCCCACCAACAUAAGCUUCAUCUUUUCUUUUCAAAAUUUACAACAAAUUCGUCAGAAUGGCAUUUUUAGAGGAAAAAAACCCAAUCCGACUGUCUUUGAGUUUCCUUUUUGAAGAGAAAAAAUGAGUCCUGUUCUAAUGCCCUCAUCUGCAUAUAUAUCUUCCGUCCCCUCCCCCAGUGUUUGUUAAAAUGAUUUAAGUAUUUCAUUAUGCAAAAUGACUUUUAUAAAAAGACCUUCCUUUUUGCCCCACAGUCAUUCUUAAUUUCGUUUGUCACUUGUUAUAGAGUGGAGUUAUGUGAAGCUAGGAUAUAUUAUUUGUUCUAGUCUGUAUGGGAUAAUUUAUUACAUUAAGAAACCAAUAAUUUUCAAAUAUAAUCAGAUUUAAGUUUUUAAUAAGAUUCAUCCUCCCAUUCACACUUGCUUAAUUUAAGGAUAUUAAAUGUGCUCAAGAAUGAGCUGCCUCUCAAAGCCUCAUGUGCCUAUUAAAGGAUUUUAUUCCUGAUGUGUUAAUAGGAUUUAAUUACAUUACCCCUAUAGUCCAGAGACACACUACAAUUGUUAAACUUGAUAAACUGGGCAAAUACAUCCUAAAAGAGUCAUGGCCAGCUCCUCAAAAAGAAAAAAAUUACAAGGUGUUAAUAUUUUAAUAUCUCUGCUAUGUAACUACAGGUUUGCAUAAUGCUGAAAUUUUAAAUAUUGAAUGUUUAACAAAUUUUUAAUACUUUUUUUCUCACAAAAAAUUAAAAUCAAGGCUAAUGCAGAAAUUAAUAAAGAUUUCUAUUGAGUGUU
Long non-coding RNA from Passer domesticus (house sparrow), 11611 nucleotides. RefSeq lists it as uncharacterized. Lineage: Eukaryota; Metazoa; Chordata; Aves; Passeriformes; Passeridae. The transcript has 8 exons. The record is from RefSeq and is a predicted model, not a curated record.